CAGCUGAUGCAGCCAUGCCGCGUGUAUGAGAAGGCCUUCGGGUUGUAAAGUACUUUCGUCGGGGAGGAAGGGAGUGAGUUAAUACCUUUGCUCAUUGACGUUACCCGCAGAAGAAGCACCGGCUAACUCCGUGCCAGCAGCCGCGGUAAUACGGAGGGUGCAAGCGUUAAUCGGAAUUACUGGGCGUAAAGCGCACGCAGGCGGUUUGUUAAGUCAGAUGUGAAAUCCCCGGGCUCAACCUGGGAACUGCAUCUGAUACUGGCAAGCUUGAGUCUCGUAGAGGGGGGUAGAAUUCCAGGUGUAGCGGUGAAAUGCGUAGAGAUCUGGAGGAAUACCGGUGGCGAAGGCGGCCCCCUGGACGAAGACUGACGCUCAGGUGCGAAAGCGUGGGGAGCAAACAGGAUUAGAUACC
This 412-nucleotide ribosomal RNA is filed under the name Escherichia fergusonii. Its description in RNAcentral is "bacterial SSU rRNA". It matches the Rfam family "Bacterial small subunit ribosomal RNA", at positions 380 to 786 of the family's 1533-position model. The record is from RNAcentral. Lineage: Bacteria; Pseudomonadati; Pseudomonadota; Gammaproteobacteria; Enterobacterales; Enterobacteriaceae.